CCUGGCUCAGGAUGAACGCUGGCGGCGUGCCUAACACAUGCAAGUCGAGCGGAGAUAGUUGAAGCCUAGCGAUGACUAUCUUAGCGGCGGAUGGGUGAGUAACACGUGGGUAACCUGCCCUGUACUGGGGAAUAACAGCUGGAAACGGCUGUUAAUGCCGCAUAUGCGCACGGAGCCGCAUGGCCCUGGGCGGAAAGAUUUAUCGGUACAGGAUGGGCCCGCGCCGGAUUAACUAGUUGGCGGGGUAACGGCCCACCAAGGUGAUGAUCCGUAGCCGACCUGAGAGGGUGACCGGCCACAUUGGGACUGAGACACGGCCCAAACUCCUACGGGAGGCAGCAGUGGGGGAUAUUGCACAAUGGGGGAAACCCUGAUGCAGCGACGCCGCGUGAAGGAUGACGUAUUUCGGUAUGUAAACUUCUAUCAGCGGGGAAGAAGAUGACGGUACCCGACUAAGAAGCCCCGGCUAACUACGUGCCAGCCGCUGC
This 488-nucleotide ribosomal RNA is filed under the name uncultured bacterium. RNAcentral describes it as "bacterial SSU rRNA". It matches the Rfam family "Bacterial small subunit ribosomal RNA", at positions 18 to 518 of the family's 1533-position model. The record is from RNAcentral.